RNAcentral lists this unclassified non-coding RNA (229 nucleotides) under Ascomycota sp. RNAcentral describes it as "partial contains small subunit ribosomal RNA, internal transcribed spacer 1, and 5.8S ribosomal RNA". The stretch from base 1 to 47 matches the Rfam family "Eukaryotic small subunit ribosomal RNA", at positions 1785 to 1831 of the family's 1831-position model. The record is from RNAcentral. Lineage: Eukaryota; Fungi; Ascomycota.
AAAGUCGUAACAAGGUUUCCGUAGGUGAACCUGCGGAAGGAUCAUUAAUAGAGUUAUGCCUCUUUUGAGGUAAAACCUCCAACCCUUUGUUGUACUUGACUUUGUUGCUUUGGCGGGGGUAGUAAAAGCAUUUUUCCUCCUGCCAGAGGAAAUUUGAACUCUGAAUAUUUUUUGCUGUCCGAGUUUACUACAGAAAUAAAAACUUUCAACAACGGAUCUCUUGGUUCUG